Molecule: microRNA, 24 nt
Filed under: Haemonchus contortus (barber pole worm)
Lineage: Eukaryota; Metazoa; Nematoda; Chromadorea; Rhabditida; Trichostrongylidae
Description: hco-miR-5920
Source: miRBase by way of RNAcentral
GUUUUGUCAUUCGUAUUGUGAAGC